UGCAUCGGCCGGGAAUCGAACCCUGGCCGCCCGCGUGGCAGGCAAGCAUUCUAACCACUGAACCACCGAUGC
Non-coding RNA from Cordylochernes scorpioides, 72 nucleotides. Lineage: Eukaryota; Metazoa; Arthropoda; Arachnida; Pseudoscorpiones; Chernetidae. The record is from the annotation of a GenBank genome assembly.